Molecule: ribosomal RNA, 406 nt
Filed under: uncultured bacterium
Lineage: Bacteria
Description: partial 16S ribosomal RNA
Rfam family: Bacterial small subunit ribosomal RNA
Source: RNAcentral
AUUGAACGCUGGCGGCAGGCCUAACACAUGCAAGUCGAACGAGUGGCGGACGGGUGAGUAAUGUCUGGGAAACUGCCUGAUGGAGGGGGAUAACUACUGGAAACGGUAGCUAAUACCGCAUACCAUCAGAUGUGCCCAGAUGGGAUUAGCUAGGUGUUGGGGUAACGGCUCACCAAGGCGACGCUCCCUAGCUGGUCUGAGUGGAUGACCAUCCACACGUGAACUGAGACACGGGCCAGACUCCUACGGGAGGCAGCAUGGGGGAAUAUUGCACAAUGGGCUCAAGCCUGAUGCAGCCAUGCCGCGUGUAUGAAGAAGGCCUUCGGGUUGUAAAGUACUUUCAGCGGGGAGGCGUUACCCGCAGAAGAAGCACCGGCUAACUCCGUGCCAGCAGCCGCGGUAAUUC